This 279-nucleotide ribosomal RNA is filed under the name uncultured bacterium. RNAcentral describes it as "partial 16S ribosomal RNA". It matches the Rfam family "Bacterial small subunit ribosomal RNA", at positions 506 to 784 of the family's 1533-position model. The record is from RNAcentral.
UGCCAGCCGCCGCGGUAAUACGGAAGGUCCUAGCGUUGUUCGGAAUUACUGGGCGUAAAGAGUAUGUAGGCGGAACAGAAAGUUAGAAGUGAAAUCCCUGGGCUCAACCUAGGAAUUGCUUUUAAAACUUCUGUUCUUGAAUUCAGGAGAGGAUAGUGGAAUUUCCAGUGUAGAGGUGAAAUUCGUAGAUAUUGGAAGGAACACCAGUGGCGAAGGCGGCUAUCUGGACUGACAUUGACGCUGAGAUACGAAGGCAUGGGUAGCAAACGGGAUUAGAUA